RNAcentral lists this ribosomal RNA (446 nucleotides) under uncultured bacterium. RNAcentral's name for it is "partial 16S ribosomal RNA". It matches the Rfam family "Bacterial small subunit ribosomal RNA", at positions 338 to 795 of the family's 1533-position model. The record is from RNAcentral.
CCUACGGGCGGCAGCAGUCGAGAAUCAUUCACAAUGGGGGAAACCCUGAUGCUGCGACGCCGCGUGGGGGAAUGAAGCUCUUCGGAUUGUAAACUCCUUUCAUGUGGGAGCAAAUUAAAAAGAUAGUACCACAAGAGGAAGAGACGGCUAACUCUGUGCCAGCAGCCGCGGUAAUACAGAGGUCUCAAGCGGUGUUCGGAAGCACUGGGCGUAAAGCGUGCGUAGGCUGUUUCGUAAGUCGUGUGUGAAAGGCGCGGGCUCAACCCGCGGACGGCACAUGAUACUGCGAGACUAGAGUGAUGGAGGGGGAACCGGAAUUCGCGGUGUAGCAGUGAAAUGCGUAGAUAUCGAGAGGAACACUCGUGGCGAAGGCAGGUUCCUGGACAUUAACUGACGCUGAGGCACGAAGGCCAGGGGAGCGAAAGGGAUUAGAUACCCGUGUAGUC